CACUUUGCAAUCGCCAUUUUUGUUUUGGAAACGAAGCGAUUCGGCGCUUAUUAUCUUACCAAAAUCGUAACAACGUAAUCCAGGAAAUAAUUGAAAUUGAAUUCGGAGCUAGCAUUAAAAAGUAACAUCUGACAGCAUAAACAAUUUGGAGGUAACGGGAGGACGCAAAAUAGGACACAAAGUGCUGUUUUCUGAUGCCUUCGAUUGCCGACCAAUCAGUUGUCCCUGACCUAAAAUAAGCAAAAGUAUUGUGGUCCAGCAAGAAAAAUAACAUGGAUUUACUUAUAAUGAAUUUAAUUAUGUUAUUUGUAAUAUAUUAUAAAUAAUAUGACUAUUUGUAUUAUAAUGUGUAAUUA
Long non-coding RNA from Toxorhynchites rutilus septentrionalis, 356 nucleotides. RefSeq lists it as uncharacterized. The record is from RefSeq and is a predicted model, not a curated record. Lineage: Eukaryota; Metazoa; Arthropoda; Insecta; Diptera; Culicidae. The transcript has 4 exons.